Molecule: long non-coding RNA, 1253 nt
Filed under: Gadus morhua (Atlantic cod)
Lineage: Eukaryota; Metazoa; Chordata; Actinopteri; Gadiformes; Gadidae
Description: lncRNA (ENSGMOG00000026590.1)
Source: RNAcentral
CUGAGUCCAUGAUACUGCGCGGAAUUUUCCUUAAAUGUGGGCUGGCUUAAACGUUUAAGCCCGCCCACAUUUAGCUCCUCCUCGAUCUGCGAGCUGCAGUCAGGGGUUACUCACUGCGAUCGCUCAGACCUCUCGCUUAUUAUGCUACAAUGCUAACAAUGCUAAAAAACAAGAAUAUUUCAGCAUCUGGUACGUCAUGAAGUAGGGCGUUGCUAUGGACCCAUGAUGCGGAAGCAUAUCUCUCCUUGAUGUUGCCCUGCGCCAUUGAGCAGUUUACAUAGGAAUGAAUGGGCGCCAUUUUGGAAUCCGUUGUCCAUUUUAUAUUAUGUCCAUGGUACAGACUCAUAUCAUAGAAAUUCGUAGCGCCCAAUAAACGGCUCCGGGCAAUCGUAAACCACGCCUCAAAUACGAGAAAAUGAAUGUGUGGUUCCCAGACCUCAUCUCAAUGUAGAUUGAGAUGAUGUCUGCCGUUAGCCAGGCUAUAUAAAGACUGGGACCAGAAAAUAGUUACUUUCUCUCCAUUGAAACCCGUUCAUAUUUUCUGAUCUCAUAGGUCCCAUGGGCUCUACAAGAAGGGGCGUGACUACUACUUGGCUCAGUCCGGGUCACGCCCACUUUUGGCGGUGAAAACGCCAAAAGAGGAUAGGAGAAUAGGAGAAUAAUUGAUAGCUUCCAGUUCAGAUGAAUCUGCAAUAGACAUUCACAAUGGCGUGUCCAACUGUCAAAGUGACUCUCUUGAUCUUGGUAAAGAAAGGCUCGAGCGAGAAGUUGCCAGUUCCAUCCUAAACCAUAAAGUUGGAGCUGAAGCCACCGAACACUGGUCUGGACGACCAGAUCCCCUCCUAUCAGGAGCUGGAGAGGAUAGAGAAGGAGGAGGCUGCAGUGAGGCCCAAAUCGGACAACAAACACAGAACUAACGAUUCCAAUACUUUGUAAGAAGUAGGGGGAAGUAGAGGGCUUUGUAGACACGAAUUGCCGUCAUAAUUGUGAUUGAUUGCACUUUUGUGUGACUAGCACACAGGAGACCACCUCUGGAACGAGGGCGUGCCAGUAUUUGUGUGUGUACGUAAUCUGUGUAAAAUGUGUCAGUGUGUUGUUUGUGUUAUCAUUGGUAGUUUUUCUGCUUACAGAAUUGUAGCCGUGGUCGUUUCGUAGGUUGAUGAAGUUGGUGAGUGUAGGUGAGGUUUACACAAAACUUGUGUAAACAUCCUAAGCCAACCGUCUUUGUAUGCUUCUGUCAUAUCAGCUUUAGA